This is a long non-coding RNA of Patella vulgata (common limpet), 979 nucleotides long. RefSeq lists it as uncharacterized. NCBI's taxonomy places the organism in Eukaryota, Metazoa, Mollusca, Gastropoda, Patellidae. The record is from RefSeq and is a predicted model, not a curated record. The transcript has 3 exons.
UAUUUAAAAUAUGAUAUUUACAUAUAAAGAAAGUAGAGAGACUUCAAUCUUACUAGAAAAAUACUAGAUUACCUGAAAUGAAAUGGGGUUUAAAGACAACGUCCUACUGGUCAGCUCCGACUGGUCUAAUGCAUUGUGCUAAGUGAAAAUGUUUGUCUGGGCAGCGACACUAUGGCCUACUCUCAUACCGAAUUCAAACUGCCAAGAGAACUUUUAUGUGUACGCCAAUGUGUACAUUGGAUCUCAGGGGAAACCACUCUGCAAAAUCAAGAUGAGCUUUCUCGGUCAACCCCAUGCUAGUGUGCCAGCACCUAAUUUACUCAGUCACCAUGGCCGUCUUCUAAUUACUGCGACAGUGAAACCAUGUGACAAACAAGGAUUAUUAAGAUAGACUUUUACGGCUUGGUAGUUCCUUGGGAUUAAAACUUUUGAUACAUAUAGAUACAUUAGUUUCAAUUUCAUAUCACACAGUUUGUAUAUAUGGUAAGGUAGCUUUAAUCGUAAAUUACAUAUCAUGUAUUUAUUUUUUCAGUUUCAAUAUUGGAUGUAUAUGCAAAUCACCCAGAAAAAGAUCAUGUAAUAACAAAAGAAAUUAUAAAAGAAAAAAAGGAAGAAGAAAUGGCUGGAAAAAAUGAUGAUAGAGCAGCUUUUUCUUGUUACCCACCUCGGAAGAUCAAGUUGGAAAGGGCUAUUGAUAUUGUGGAGACGUUUUAUCACAGAUCUUGCUUAUCAGACAAAGACUAUGCUGGAACACCAUUGAAAGAGUAUUUGCUGUAUGAUAACAACAAGAAAACCCAAGCAUCAAUUUAUUUUAUACUUCUGGGAAAGAAUGCAUUUGACCCAAUUUUUAAAUAUUUAUUUUUUGUUAUUAAUGUUAAAUUUUCUUCCAAAACACAAUUAGAUUUUAAUUCUCUUCAGAAAUGUAUGUAUAAUAUAGCAAGUAAAGUGGCAUAUAAAUCACUAAGAAUUUGGUCAGAAA